GCGGUAUCCUAACCGUGCGAAGGUAGCGUAAUCACUUGUUCUUUAAAUGAGGACUAGUAUGAACGGCUUCACGAAAGCUAUACUGUCUCCUUUGUCCAAUCAGUUAAACUAAUCUCCCCGUGAAGAAGCGGGGAUAUACCUAUAAGACGAGAAGACCCUGUGGAGCUUUAAACACCUUAAACAUUUGUCAUUCUACUUCACAACUUCCAGAAAACUUUACUAAACCCAACACUCUGUUUUAGGUUUUAGGUUGGGGUGACCACGGAGUAAAACUUAACCUCCACGUAGAAAGAAACUCCCUUUCUAAGCAAAAAGCUACAUCUUUAUGCAUCAAAAUAUUGACUUAAAUUGACCCAAUUAUUUGAUCAACGAACCAAGUUACCCUAGGGAUAACAGCGCAAUCCGCUUUAAGAGCUCCUAUCGACAAGCGGGCUUACGACCUCGAUGUUGGAUCAGGGCAUCCCAGUGGUGCAGAAGCUACUAAUGGUUCGUUUGUUCAACGAUUAAAGCCCUACGUGAUCUGA
RNAcentral lists this ribosomal RNA (524 nucleotides) under Allobates gasconi. RNAcentral describes it as "partial large subunit ribosomal RNA". It matches the Rfam family "Bacterial large subunit ribosomal RNA", at positions 1933 to 2608 of the family's 2925-position model. Lineage: Eukaryota; Metazoa; Chordata; Amphibia; Anura; Aromobatidae. The record is from RNAcentral.